UUUUUUUUUAACAAAAACAACACUGGACUUUAAGUCAGAAUAAUUCAAAUUAUUGCUUUGCCCUUCAUACAGAAGGUUUUAGGAAAGUUAACAGUUUCUGAUGAGGUUUCCACAAUCAGUAACAUGGGAAGCUAGGUGUAUGAAUAGGUAUCAGAACUGUGACAGUGUGUGAGGGCACUGGAACAGGGGACAUGUUGCAAAGCUCGACUAAUAUUUGCAAAAAUUACGGCUACCCACACAAACUUUUUUUUUUUACUCCUUAGAAAGUGGACACUCUUUCUAAGGAGUAAAACACACUUCCUAAUGCACCCCAGUUUGGAGGUUAUAAGUGAUGUCAGGUCUUGGUUCUGGCAUGGAGUGUUUUGCUGAGACUUCAUAUGGAUACUGUUGGGUGAGGGUUUGUUCAUGGGCUGAAAGUUGAACCUCUUAGUGAUCAGAUGGCCUCUGGCCCUCUGGCUGAUGACUACCACCUCAAUUUCUGUGAAAGUGAAGUUGUGUGAAAAGGCAAAUUGAAAGAGAAGAGAUGAAGUUUCUUAACCUAUAAAACGUUUUAUUUCUCUAUAACAGCUGUUAAAAUGAGAAAAGUCAAAUGUCUACAUAGCACACCUUUAGGGAAAAGGGCAAGGAUCAGGCAUUGCUUUUAGAGUAUCGAGGGAAUUAGCACAAAGACUGAGAAAAAUUAAUGGCUGUUGUGGUUCAAAUGUGUCACUGGGUUCAUUGUUUUCUACAACAAACCCAUGAGAGAUGUGACAGAAACACAGGCAAGAGGAGGAAUCGGGAUGCCUUUG
This 788-nucleotide long non-coding RNA is filed under the name Marmota monax (woodchuck). Lineage: Eukaryota; Metazoa; Chordata; Mammalia; Rodentia; Sciuridae. The record is from RNAcentral.